Molecule: unclassified non-coding RNA, 154 nt
Filed under: Dictyosporium elegans
Lineage: Eukaryota; Fungi; Ascomycota; Dothideomycetes; Pleosporales; Dictyosporiaceae
Description: partial internal transcribed spacer 2
Source: RNAcentral
AACCCUUCAAGCAUUGCUUGGUGUUGGGUGUUUGUCUAUAUCUAUGGUGUAGACUCGCCCUAAAAGCAUUGGCAGUAGUUUGCCGGCCUCUCGCGCAGCACUUUGCGCUCUUUGAGGUUUUGGCGGGCUUGACUUCCAUCAAGAUCUUUUACUA